RNAcentral lists this ribosomal RNA (491 nucleotides) under uncultured bacterium. RNAcentral describes it as "partial 16S ribosomal RNA". It matches the Rfam family "Bacterial small subunit ribosomal RNA", at positions 29 to 507 of the family's 1533-position model. The record is from RNAcentral.
GUGAACGCUGGCGGUAGGCCUAACACAUGCAAGUCGAACGGCAGCACCGUAAGAGCUUGCUCUUACGGGUGGCGAGUGGCGGACGGGUGAGGAAUACAUCGGAAUCUACUUUUUCGUGGGGGAUAACGUAGGGAAACUUACGCUAAUACCGCAUACGACCUACGGGUGAAAGCAGGGGAUCUUCGGACCUUGCGCGAUUGAAUGAGCCGAUGUCGGAUUAGCUAGUUGGCGGGGUAAAGGCCCACCAAGGCGACGAUCCGUAGCUGGUCUGAGAGGAUGAUCAGCCACACUGGAACUGAGACACGGUCCAGACUACUACGGGAGGCAGCAGUGGGGAAUAUUGGACAAUGGGCGCAAGCCUGAUCCAGCCAUACCGCGUGGGUGAAGAAGGCCUUCGGGUUGUAAAGCCCUUUUGUUGGGAAAGAAAAGCAGCAGGUUAAUACCCCGCUGUUCUGACGGUACCCAAAGAAUAAGCACCGGCUAACUUCGUG